This 515-nucleotide ribosomal RNA is filed under the name uncultured archaeon. RNAcentral's name for it is "bacterial SSU rRNA". It matches the Rfam family "Archaeal small subunit ribosomal RNA", at positions 345 to 859 of the family's 1478-position model. The record is from RNAcentral.
AACCUUUACACUGCACGACAGUGCGGUAGGGGGACUCCGAGUGCGAGGGCAUAUAGUCCUCGCUUUUCUGUACCGUAAGGUGGUACAGGAACAAGUGCUGGGCAAGACCGGUGCCAGCCGCCGCGGUAAUACCGGCAGCACGAGUGAUGGCCGCUAUUAUUGGGCCUAAAGCGUCCGUAGCUGGCCAGUCAAGUCCGUUGGGAAAUCGGCGUGCCUAACACGUCGGCGUCCAGCGGAAACUGUCUGGCUUGGGACCGGAAGACCCGAGGGGUACGUCCGGGGUAGGAGUGAAAUCCCGUAAUCCUGGACGGACCGCCGGUGGCGAAAGCGCCUCGGGAAGACGGAUCCGACAGUGAGGGACGAAAGCUGGGGUCUCGAACCGGAUUAGAUACCCGGGUAGUCCCAGCCGUAAACGAUGCUCGCUAGGUGUGGCGCAGGCUACGAGCCUGCGCUGUGCCGUAGGGAAGCCGUGAAGCGAGCCGCCUGGGAAGUACGUCUGCAAGGAUGAAACUUAA